UGAAGCAACUUUAAGAUCCGCUGUGAGGAGCAACUAGGAAUGAUGGAAUAGGACCCCGGUUCCAUUUUGUGGGUUUUCCCUCCUGAACUGGGGCCAUGAUAGAGAGGGACAGCCUGAGGCAUACAUAUUGCACCACUUGAGGUGAAAGUCUUGGACCGGCGCAAGACAGGCCAGGGAAAAAGCAUUUGCCAAGAAUGUUUUCAUUAAUCAAGAACGAAAGUCAGAGGUUAAAAAAUGAUCAAAUAUAAAAAUGAAAGGAAUUGAUGGAAGGGUCACCACCAGAAGUGGAGCCUGCGGCUUAAUUUGACUCAACACGGGAAACCUCGGCCGGACACGGACAGGAUUGACAGAUUGACAGCUCUUUCUCCAUUCCGUGGGUGGUGGUGCAUGGCCGUGGGUGGUUGUGCAUGGCCGUUCUUAGUUGGAGCAAUUUGUCUGGUUAAUUCCAAUGACGAAUGAGAUGCCGGCAUGCUAAAUAGGUCGGCGGCCCCCGAGCGGUCGGUGGGCAACUUGUUAGAGGGACAAGUGGCGUUCUGCCACGUGAGAUUGAGCAAUAACAGGUCUGU
Long non-coding RNA from Syngnathus acus (greater pipefish), 566 nucleotides. RefSeq lists it as uncharacterized. The transcript has 3 exons. NCBI's taxonomy places the organism in Eukaryota, Metazoa, Chordata, Actinopteri, Syngnathiformes, Syngnathidae. The record is from RefSeq and is a predicted model, not a curated record.